RNAcentral lists this microRNA precursor (99 nucleotides) under Propithecus coquereli (Coquerel's sifaka). Its description in RNAcentral is "miRNA (ENSPCOG00000011328.1)". The record is from RNAcentral. Lineage: Eukaryota; Metazoa; Chordata; Mammalia; Primates; Indriidae.
GAGGUGAGAGGAUCACUUGAGCCCAGGAGUUUGAGGCUACGGUUAGCCAUGAUCAUGCCACUGCACUCCAGCCUGAGUGACAGAGCAAGACCCUGUCUC